This 464-nucleotide ribosomal RNA is filed under the name uncultured bacterium. RNAcentral's name for it is "partial 16S ribosomal RNA". It matches the Rfam family "Bacterial small subunit ribosomal RNA", at positions 338 to 795 of the family's 1533-position model. The record is from RNAcentral.
CCUACGGGAGACAGCAGUGGGGAAUAUUGCGCAAUGGGCGAAAGCCUGACGCAGCGACGCCGCGUGAGGGAUGAAGGUCCUCGGAUUGUAAACCUCUGUCAGCAGGGAAGAAAGGUCACUGUGCUAAUCAGCAGUGAAUUGACGGUACCUGCAAAGGAAGCACCGGCUCACUCCGUGCCAGCAGCCGCGGUAAUACGGGGGAUGCGAGCGUUGUCCGGAUUUAUUGGGUUUAAAGGGUGCGCAGGCGGAAUGUCAAGUCAGCGGUAAAAUUUCGGGGCUCAACCCCGUCGUGCCGUUGAAACUGGCGUUCUUGAGUGAGCGAGAAGUAUGCGGAAUGCGUGGUGUAGCGGUGAAAUGCAUAGAUAUCACGCAGAACUCCGAUUGCGAAGGCAGCAUACCGGCGCUCAACUGACGCUCAUGCACGAAAGCGUGGGUAUCGAACAGGAUUAGAUACCCCAGUAGUC